Molecule: long non-coding RNA, 411 nt
Organism: Helianthus annuus (common sunflower)
Lineage: Eukaryota; Viridiplantae; Streptophyta; Magnoliopsida; Asterales; Asteraceae
Exons: 2
Source: RefSeq, a predicted model, not a curated record
CAACUACUAAACCUGUCAAGUGUCAUAUACUAGCCCUUUUACUGUUUCCUUUACCUUUUACUGUUUGUCCUUUUCACUGCAGAGUUGUUUUCACAGCUGUAAUACAUGGUCAAGCAUUGGAACUCUACAACUUUUCCCAUGCUUUUUGAUAUUGGAACUGACAUCUCCAACAACACAAGUGAUGAGUCAAAAAAUGGCUAUUUCAAAAAGUUGGAGAAUGCUAAAGAGAGGUUGCUUCUUUUCAAGGCAUACAAGAUACAUGUUAUUGGCGGUGCCUCCAAUUAAAAGUUAUAAAAAAACAUUAUCAUGAAAGAUCCUCAGAAACAAAUUAACAAAUCGUUGUAAUUAUUGUUACAAAUUUAUAACGUUUAUUUUUUAUCGAGUAAUGUUUAUCGUUGUAAUUUUGUUAAC